AGUCAUUGUAGCAAUACAAGGCAGACGGCUCAUUAACGCGUAGUCAACCUAACCUAUGGACGGGAAUAACCUCGGGAAACUGAGAAUAAUGCCCGAUAGAACACUAUGCCUGGAAUGGUUUGUGUUCCAAAUGAUUUAUCGCCGUAGGAUGGGACUGCGGCCUAUCAGUUUGUUGGUGAGGUAAUGGCCCACCAAGACUAUUACAGGUACGGGCUCUGAGAGGAGUAGCCCGGAGAUGGGUGCUGAGACACGGACCCAGGCCCUAUGGGGCGCAGCAGGCGAGAAAACUUUGCAAUGUGCGAAAGCACGACAAGGUUAAUCCGAGUGGUUUGUGCUAAACAGACCUUUUGUUAGUCCUAGAAACACUAACGAAUAAGGGGUGGGCAAGUUCUGGUGUCAGCCGCCGCGGUAAAACCAGCACCUCAAGUGGUCAGGAUGAUUAUUGGGCCUAAAGCAUCCGUAGCCGGAUCUGUAAGUUUUCGGUUAAAUCUGUACGCUCAACGUACAGGCUGCCGGGAAUACUGCAGAUCUAGGGAGUGGGAGAGGUAGACGGUACUCGGUAGGAAGGGGUAAAAUCCUUUGAUCUAUUGAUGACCACCUGUGGCGAAGGCGGUCUACCAGAACACGUCCGACGGUGAGGGAUGAAAGCUGGGGGAGCAAACCGGAUUAGAUACCCGGGUAGUCCCAGCUGUAAACUAUGCAAACUCAGUGAUGCAUUGACUUGUGGUCAAUGCAAUGCUGCAGGGAAGCCGUUAAGUUUGCCGCCUGGGAAGUACGUACGCAAGUAUGAAACUUAAACG
RNAcentral lists this ribosomal RNA (800 nucleotides) under uncultured archaeon. RNAcentral describes it as "bacterial SSU rRNA". It matches the Rfam family "Archaeal small subunit ribosomal RNA", at positions 56 to 862 of the family's 1478-position model. The record is from RNAcentral.